RNAcentral lists this ribosomal RNA (232 nucleotides) under uncultured bacterium. Its description in RNAcentral is "partial 16S ribosomal RNA". It matches the Rfam family "Bacterial small subunit ribosomal RNA", at positions 99 to 334 of the family's 1533-position model. The record is from RNAcentral.
CGGACGGGUGAGUAAUGUAUGGGGAUCUGCCUGAUGGCGGGGGAUAACUACUGGAAACGGUAGCUAAUACCGCAUAAUGUCUACGGACCAAAGCGGGGGACCUCCGGGCCUCGCGCCAUCAGAUGAACCCAUAUGGGAUUAGCUUGUAGGUAAGGUAACGGCUUACCUGGGCGACGAUCCCUAGCUGGUCUGAGAGGAUGAUCAGCCACACUGGAACUGAGACACGGUCCAG